RNAcentral lists this ribosomal RNA (482 nucleotides) under uncultured bacterium. RNAcentral's name for it is "partial 16S ribosomal RNA". It matches the Rfam family "Bacterial small subunit ribosomal RNA", at positions 30 to 507 of the family's 1533-position model. The record is from RNAcentral.
AUUGAACGCUGGCGGCAUGCCUUACACAUGCAAGUCGAACGGUAACAGGUCUUCGGAUGCUGACGAGUGGCGAACGGGUGAGUAAUACAUCGGAACGUGCCCAGACGUGGGGGAUAACGAGGCGAAAGCUUUGCUAAUACCGCAUACGAUCUAAGGAUGAAAGCCGGGGACCGCAAGGCCUUGCGCGUUUGGAGCGGCCGAUGGCAGAUUAGGUAGUUGGUGGGAUAAAAGCUUACCAAGCCGACGAUCUGUAGCUGGUCUGAGAGGACGACCCGCCACACUGGGACUGAGACACGGCCCAGACUCCUACGGGAGGCAGCAGUGGGGAAUUUUGGACAAUGGGCGAAAGCCUGAUCCAGCAAUGCCGCGUGCAGGAUGAAGGCCUUCGGGUUGUAAACUGCUUUUGUACGGAACGAAAAGGCUCUGGCUAAUACCUGGGGCACAUGACGGUACCGGAAGAAUAAGCACCGGCUAACUACGUG